Molecule: ribosomal RNA, 383 nt
Filed under: uncultured cyanobacterium
Lineage: Bacteria; Bacillati; Cyanobacteriota
Description: bacterial SSU rRNA
Rfam family: Bacterial small subunit ribosomal RNA
Source: RNAcentral
CGAAAGCCUGACGGAGCAACGCCGCGUGAGGGACGAAGGCCUCUGGGCUGUAAACCUCUUUUCUCAAGGAAGAAGAUAUGACGGUACUUGAGGAAUAAGCCACGGCUAAUUCCGUGCCAGCAGCCGCGGUAAUACGGGAGUGGCAAGCGUUAUCCGGAAUUAUUGGGCGUAAAGCGUCCGCAGGCGGCCUUUCAAGUCUGCUGUUAAAGCGUGGAGCUUAACUCCAUUAUGGCAGUGGAAACUGAUUGGCUUGAGUAUGGUAGGGGCAGAGGGAAUUCCCGGUGUAGCGGUGAAAUGCGUAGAUAUCGGGAAGAACACCAGUGGCGAAGGCGCUCUGCUGGGCCAUUACUGACGCUCAUGGACGAAAGCCAGGGGAGCGAAAG